This 955-nucleotide ribosomal RNA is filed under the name Stenotrophomonas maltophilia. Its description in RNAcentral is "bacterial SSU rRNA". It matches the Rfam family "Bacterial small subunit ribosomal RNA", at positions 120 to 1059 of the family's 1533-position model. Lineage: Bacteria; Pseudomonadati; Pseudomonadota; Gammaproteobacteria; Lysobacterales; Lysobacteraceae. The record is from RNAcentral.
GGAAUUACUCUGUCGUGGGGGAUAACGUAGGGAAACUUACGCUAAUACCGCAUACGACUACGGGUGAAAGCAGGGGAUCUUCGGACCUUGCGCGAUUGAAUGAGCCGAUGUCGGAUUAGCUAGUUGGCGGGGUAAAGGCCCACCAAGGCGACGAUCCGUAGCUGGUCUGAGAGGAUGAUCAGCCACACUGGAACUGAGACACGGUCCAGACUCCUACGGGAGGCAGCAGUGGGGAAUAUUGGACAAUGGGCGCAAGCCUGAUCCAGCCAUACCGCGUGGGUGAAGAAGGCCUUCGGGUUGUAAAGCCCUUUUUGUUGGGAAAGAAAUCCAGCUGGCUAAUACCCGGUUGGGAUGACGGUACCCAAAGAAUAAGCACCGGCUAACUUCGUGCCAGCAGCCGCGGUAAUACGAAAGGUGCAAGCGUUACUCGGAAUUACUGGGCGUAAAGCGUGCGUAGGUGGUCGUUUAAGUCCGUUGUGAAAAGCCCUGGGCUCAACCUGGGGAACUGCAGUGGAUACUGGGCGACUAGAGUGUGGUAGAGGGUAGCGGAAUUCCCUGGGUGUAGCAGUGAAAUGCGUAGAGAUCAGGAGGAACAUCCCAUGGGCGAAGGCAGCUACCUGGGACCCAACACUGACACUGAGGCACGAAAGCGUGGGGGAGCAAAACAGGGAUUAGAUACCCUGGUAGUCCACGCCCCUAAACGAUGCGAACUGGAUGUUGGGUGCAAUUUGGCACGCAGUAUCGAAGCUAACGCGUUAAGUUCGCCGCCUGGGGAGUACGGUCGCAAGACUGAAACUCAAAGGAAUUGACGGGGGCCCGCACAAGCGGUGGAGUAUGUGGUUUAAUUCGAUGCAACGCGAAGAACCUUACCUGGCCUUGACAUGUCGAGAACUUUCCAGAGAUGGAUUGGUGCCUUCGGGAACUCGAACACAGGUGCUGCAUGGCUGUCGUCAGC